Long non-coding RNA from Triticum aestivum (bread wheat), 1928 nucleotides. RefSeq lists it as uncharacterized. The transcript has 8 exons. The record is from RefSeq and is a predicted model, not a curated record. Lineage: Eukaryota; Viridiplantae; Streptophyta; Magnoliopsida; Poales; Poaceae.
UCCCCUUCUCUUACGUUGCCUCCUCCCAAUCCUUCCCCCCUUACUCGCACGGAGGUGGCUGCAGGAGAGGCGUGGCAAAGGAGGCUCGUGCAGGGGGUGGUGGUGGUGGGAGUGGGGAGUAAGAAAGAGCAUGGAGGCGGCGGCGGCGGCUAGGAAGAGCGUGUGCGUGACCGGCGCAGGAGGCUUCAUCGCCUCGUGGCUCAUCAAGCUCCUCCUCUCCAAGGGCCACUAAAUGGUCCGCGGCACCAUGCGAGAUCCCGGUAAGGACCCUCCUCGCUUCGAUCCGUCCAUCCCAGCCCCCGAAGAUCCAGCCUCAGCUCAUGCUCGCGCUGCUCCCGCCCAACGACGCCGUCUGCGUCGAACUGAAAGCCUGCGGAGGACGGGGACGAGGUCGGGGUGGAGAUGUGGAUCGUUUUCUUUGGAUCCCCAACUGAAGAGUUUGAAGUUGUUUCUGCAGACAACCUAGAUGUCAAUGAAUGUGCGCAGAGUCCAGCCCCCUGCCAUGGCUCUGCAACUUGCCACAACACAGUUGGAGGGUUCCAUUGUUCAUGCCCUUUUGUCACCAGUUUUGCUAAGGAAACAAACUCCUGCGCCAAUCAGUUUACAAGUCAGGAGUUGAGCAGGGCACAAUCUGUGGCAGGACCGCACUCUCCUACUCAUUUGUCUCAAAGCAAAAGAAGCUUGCUGCCUUUGCCUGGAGAGAGUAGAAGUUUCUUUUAUCUAAUCCAAGAUGAUCUAUUCAUGAUUAAAACAGCGAGGAAAUCAGAAGUUGAGUUCUACUAAUUGAAGCCGGUGAGUUGGUGUAUGCUUGAAGUGAGUCUGGUUCUUGCUUCAAUUUCCCCUGUUUCACCUCCAGAUCUACUCAUUGGGAGAUGGAUUCCUUGCAGUGAGAGGCUGGUCUGACGCUGUUGUUGAUAAUCAUCCAUUCCUAUUCUGGACGUGGACGAAGUACACACAUGUACACGCAGCUCUUUUUGAUCCGUUGCAUAUCAAAGCUUCAUUCAGACGAUGGACUGUCUUGCUCUACUUCGAAAUCGAAACAGGUGAGUCGUGUCCUUUUUAGGAUUUAACCAACUGAAGUGAAACCAAGAUACAGUUGCUGCACCACUUAUGAGCAAAUUGUACAGGGGAAAGACAGGCAGCUGCUGCAGAACAAGGGAAGGAGUAUCAGCUAUCUGUUGUUUCAGUUAUUUAUGUGUGCUGAAGAUUGUUCAUACCCGUACCCUGAAGAAAGAAGGCAAAAUAAUCCAUAACUAUUUCUUGAUAAUAAAACACAAGAUAGAUUGUAGAUAUACCUGGAAUAUGUUCAUCCGGGUUCAGUUAAUAAGUGCAUUAGUCAACAUUGUGGUGCAAUGACAGAAUCUGCUGUCCACAACUUCACCUGCCAUAUCCUUAAGGGUCUUGCUUUCCUACAGAGCCAAAAAAUUAUGCAUAGAUUUGGAAAUAGGUUUAAAGGAAAGAUUUAGAAGGUGAAGGAGCUGAUAAAGAGCAUGCUAAAUUCUCACUGUCUUAAUCAUUUUUGGUGUACAAUGCAAUUCAUGUAUAGGUUUGGUGCUUUGUGCUGACAAGAAUUCUCUGAUUGGCAUCAUUUGCAGUAACUGUGGUGAUCCAGGACGCUUUCAAGAUUACAAGUUCAGUAGUGGCAACUUGAACUUAUGUAAGAAUAAACAGAAUGAUUUUUCAUCUUGAAGAGUUUCCUAACUGUUGACUUUAAGCCUUCAAAGUUACUCCUUUCGUAAACUAAUAUAAGAGCGUUUAGAUCACUAAAGUAGUGAUCUAAAUACUCUUAUAUUAGUUUACAGAGGGAGUACAUCGUGGGAUUAUGAAUAAGAUGGUGCUAAUUAUAUUUUGAGUGAAUUUCUGGUGUGUAUUAUUCAGAAUUUCAGACUGGCCCUUGAACUAAAUAAAGAGAAGUCAAAUUUUGUUUC